GCAGUCGAGCGGUGAAGGGAGCUUGCUCCUGGAUUCAGCGGCGGACGGGUGAGUAAUGCCUAGGAAUCUGCCUGGUAAUGGGGGAUAACGUCCGGAAACGGGCGCUAAUACCGCAUACGUCCUGAGGGAGAAAGUGGGGGAUCUUCGGACCUCACGCUAUCAGAUGAGCCUAGGUCGGAUUACCUAGUUGGUGGGGUAAAGGCCUACCAAGGGGACCAUCCGUAACUGGUCUGAGAGGAUGAUCGGUCGCACUGGAACUGAGACACGGUCCAAACUCCUACGGGAGGCACUAGUGGGGAAUAUUGGACAAUGGGCUAAAGCC
Molecule: ribosomal RNA, 322 nt
Filed under: Pseudomonas aeruginosa
Lineage: Bacteria; Pseudomonadati; Pseudomonadota; Gammaproteobacteria; Pseudomonadales; Pseudomonadaceae
Description: bacterial SSU rRNA
Rfam family: Bacterial small subunit ribosomal RNA
Source: RNAcentral